CCCUCCUGUGGUGAAAAUAAAAUCAAUCGCUUUAUUUCCCAUUAAGGGAGUAACUAGAGAAGUGAGGUGGUGGCUCUCGGGGACUGUUUUUUUCUUUCCUGAGGGAAAAGAGGCCCAGUAGCACAGCAGCUGUGGUGGAUUUGCCCAGCUUUGAGGGAGCCCCAUGGCAGGAGCCAGACAGUUCUGCUGGCAUUGUGAGGCCUGCCAGCAUGUGCUAGUCUGUGGUCAUGUGCAAUAUAUUAGAUUGUAGUAACCUUGUGAGACAGGAUGGAAUGUGAUAAGACUUCUCUGCAGGCCAGGGCUGUGAGCUGUGGCCCUUGUGGACUGCUACCUGUGCGAUAGGUAAGAGCAGCCCUGUGGGCCCUUAGUCUCAUUCCUAGGGGAGCAAGUGGGGCUCUUGGCUAAGGGGAGGGAGCGCUGAAACUGCUGGUGGCCUCAUGUUUUUCUCCCUCUUCCCUUUCAGCUCUCCUUAUUCACUGACCAGCACAGCCCUACUGAAGAGUGUGUCUGAGGGAUGCUGCUGUGGAUGAGGUGUGAUCUAAGGAUAGGCAAUUCUGAAUAAUCCUGCCUGAUAACCUACUUACUGCCAAUGCCUAAAUACAUCCAAUGCUGUGACUUCUUGGACAAAACAAGAACUUCCUAUUGACUAAUGUCUGCUUUGCCCCAACCUGCCGGAUGCUCCGAAGGGAUUUUAAGGACUAGAAGUAAAAUCUCUUGUAGAUAGGCAUUUCUACAGUGCCUCUUCUGAACUUUCUAAAAUGGAGAGCUAUCCACUGUUGACUACCUCUAGAAAACAUUGUGAUUGUCCUCUUAAGCUGCUGUCUUCAGUUAGAGAAAAUAAUUUGAGCUGGAAAAUGAAUUUCACUCCAAAGAUGCAUCCCCGUCUCUUUCCUUUUAUACAUUUCUGUAAGUACAGUGCUAUAUUUUAUUCUGCAGUAUUCCCUUUGUUUUCCAAUGUAAAGGAUUGUAACGAGUGGGCCAUGCUUCAGCCAGUCUCCUUUUCCAAAUAUAAUUUCUCUUCCAAAACUAGGGGAUCAUAGGAAUGCCCCAAUCAAAGGAGCAGUAUACUACUUCAUUACAGUUUGCACUUGAAGGGAGGCACUUUCAUUUUCUGAUUACUUGUUAUAUGUUCUAGUGAGUGAUCUGAAUUGUACUUAAAAAUUAAAUUUUUAUUGGGUGCUAAUGAAUUAUUUAUUUAUUUUAAAAUGUAGUCAUCUGCAAUCAGAUUUUUUUUUCUGUCAGUUUCUAUAUUUGGAAUCUGCUGAUAGUUACUGGAAGCUGUUUGGGGAUUGGAAUACUCAGCACUAUUGUAUUGUGAUCAAUAAUUAAAUUUAGUGCUGACAUGCAUCUAGUUUAUGCAGCAGCCUCUGACAGUCCCAUCUUGCAAAAUUAAUC
Molecule: long non-coding RNA, 1395 nt
Organism: Lagopus muta (rock ptarmigan)
Lineage: Eukaryota; Metazoa; Chordata; Aves; Galliformes; Phasianidae
Exons: 3
Source: RefSeq, a predicted model, not a curated record